AAAUCCCCCGGCUUAACCGCGGUUUGCACAACAAACUCCUCUUCUGUAGGCAGGUAGGGCUGCAUGGAACUUUUGCUGGAACGGUGGAAUGCCUAGAUAUCAAGAGGAACCGCAGACGCUUAAUGUCGUGCAACUGCGCCAUGUCUUGACGUUGAGGUGCGAAAGCGUUGGGAGCGAACGGGAUUAGAUACCCCGGUAGUCCACGCCGUUAACGAUGUCUACUAGCUCCUGGGUGUUCUGACACAUUCACGGCCGGAGCAAAAGUGUUUAGUAGACCGCCUGGGGAGUACGCCUGCAAGGUUAUAACUCAUAUGAAUUGACGGGGGCUAACACAACCGGUGGAGCAUGUGGAUUAAUUCGUAUCUACGCGCAGACCCUUACCUGGGUUUGACAUGCUUGGAUGCCUGCUCUGAAAGGAGUUAGCCUGCCUUCGGGUGAAACUUGCACAGCUGCUGCAUGGCUGUCGUCAGCUCGUGUCGUGAGAUGUCGCUCAUACUCCUUUUACGAGCGUAACCCUUGCCGUUAGUUGCCAGCGAGUUAUGUCGGGGACUCUAACGGGACUGCCGGUGUUAUACCGGAGGAAGGUGGGGAUGACGUCAAGUCCUCAUGGCCUUUAUGCCCAGGGCUUCACACGUGCUACAAUGGCAAUUACAGAGCGAUGCGAUACCACGAGCUGGAGCAAAUCGCAAAAAAAUUGCCUCAGUUCGGAUUGCAGGCUGGAAUUCGCCUGCAUGAGUCGGAUCGCUAGUAUCGUUAUCAGCUACACCCGGUGAUGUGUUCCUGAGCCUGUACACACCGCCCGUCAAUGAUGGAGCCGGGAGUACCCGAAG
Molecule: ribosomal RNA, 830 nt
Filed under: uncultured organism
Description: bacterial SSU rRNA
Rfam family: Bacterial small subunit ribosomal RNA
Source: RNAcentral